GGAUGUGAGGGUGAUCUGGGUGUGACAUCUGUCACUCCAGGGUCACUAGGGUUGAUUCAGCUGAUCUGGCUGGCUAGGUUUGUCCCCUUCCUCCCUCACCACUCCAUGUGUGUCCCUUCCAAAGCUGUGCACUCCGCUGAAGUGGACAGCCUUCCCCAAACAGAGGAGGACCGGUCUUUGGUCAAGUGUAUACAAGUAGCUGUGCUCCCUUCUAGAACCUCCAACAAGCUGUCAAGAAAGAAUUCUUUGGUCAUACAAAGAUUAAGCAUUGCUUAUGACGUUC
Molecule: small nuclear RNA, 283 nt
Filed under: Jaculus jaculus (lesser Egyptian jerboa)
Lineage: Eukaryota; Metazoa; Chordata; Mammalia; Rodentia; Dipodidae
Description: 7SK RNA (ENSJJAG00000003679.1)
Rfam family: 7SK RNA
About the family: 7SK was discovered as an abundant small nuclear RNA in the mid-70s but a possible function has only recently been suggested.
Source: RNAcentral